Molecule: transfer RNA, 75 nt
Filed under: Microcaldota archaeon
Lineage: Archaea; Nanobdellati; Microcaldota
Description: tRNA-Arg
Rfam family: tRNA
About the family: Transfer RNA (tRNA) molecules are approximately 80 nucleotides in length. Their secondary structure includes four short double-helical elements and three loops (D, anti-codon, and T loops).
Source: RNAcentral
GGGCCCGUGGCGCAGCCUGGAUAGCGCGGCAGACUUCUAAUCUGUAGGUCGAGGGUUCAAAUCCCUCCGGGCCCG